Molecule: ribosomal RNA, 484 nt
Filed under: uncultured bacterium
Lineage: Bacteria
Description: partial 16S ribosomal RNA
Rfam family: Bacterial small subunit ribosomal RNA
Source: RNAcentral
AUUGAACGCUGGCGGCAGGCCUAACACAUGCAAGUCGAGCGGAUGAAGGGAGCUUGCUCCUGGAUUCAGCGGCGGACGGGUGAGUAAUGCCUAGGAAUCUGCCUGGCAGUGGGGGAUAACGUCCGGAAACGGGCGCUAAUACCGCAUACGUCCUGAGGGCGAAAGGGGGGGAUCUUCGGACCUCACGCUAUCAGAUGAGCCUAGGUCGGAUUGGCUAGUUGGUGGGGUAAAGGCCUACCAAGGCGACGAUCCGUAACUGGUCUGAGAGGAUGAGCAGUCCCACUGGGACUGAGAAACGGUCCCGACUCCCAAGGGGGGCAGCAGUGGGGAAUAUUGGACAAUGGGCGGAAGCCUGGUCCAGCCCUGCCGCGUGUGUGGAGAAGGUCUUCGGAUUUUAAAGCACUUUAAGUUGGGAGAAAGGGCAGUAAGUUAAUACCUUGCUGUUUUGACGUUACCAACAGAAUAAGCCCCGGCUAACUUCGUG